GACAUGGUGUUUUGAUCUUGGUUAAUUAAUCUCUUAUGGCUAUGGAGAAAUUCAGCAACCUAGUUGUAAACAUGGUGUUUAGAAUUAGGCGUAAAUGUUGUCUUUGCUUAUAUGCUUUCCUCUCAUAUGCAUAUAAACCUUGCACUCACGUACACCCAUUAGGUUUCUUUCUUUUCACUAGACUAAUUUUGCCACAUGCUAAGAAUCUUAGGAUGUGUUAUU
Molecule: long non-coding RNA, 222 nt
Filed under: Setaria viridis
Lineage: Eukaryota; Viridiplantae; Streptophyta; Magnoliopsida; Poales; Poaceae
Description: long non-coding RNA (SVIR_LNC007015)
Source: RNAcentral